This 1074-nucleotide long non-coding RNA is filed under the name Anolis carolinensis (green anole). RNAcentral's name for it is "lncRNA (ENSACAG00000041718.1)". The record is from RNAcentral. Lineage: Eukaryota; Metazoa; Chordata; Lepidosauria; Squamata; Anolidae.
AUGGAAACGUAUGGAAAGCAGAGAAGUACUGACCUAUCUCACCUAUGUGACCUGCUGGGAAAGUCAAUUUGUCUCAUCUUACCACAUCUAAAGACAGUAAAUAAGAAACUUGACCUUCUUUUUUCCGCCAUGUCCUUAACCAUAAAGCAUCCGAUUCAGACCUUUUCCUCACAAAAUGAAGAAGAGGAUGAUGUGUUCUCAUGCCUUACUGAAGGACUGAGCCAGUCUGAUGGGGAGGGAGAAGGGAAGGAGAAGGGACCAGAGUUGCAGGAUAAAAAAAGGGAUGUUGAUUUGGAGCCACCUUGGGAAAGAGGGAAUGAGGAAGGUUCAUAUUGCGACGAGAAUCUGUUUGGGAAGAACUAUAGACAAAGUACUGGGGACUCUCUGUAUAAGGAAUCAACUAAUAUAUCUCCAACUCAGCUUGGUCAAGAGCCAGAUUCCUUACAUCAGCAACAACAGCUCUUGCAAUUUAAUAAGUUAGUAUUUGAAGUUGUUGAUUCUCAGUUAAAUAGAGGUAGAUGGUGUUCUCAGAGAGCAGUAAAGAGGUCCUUGGGCCAGAUUCUGAGUAAACAUCCUAUGGAAAUUAAGAUCAAUACCAUGAACUGGCUUCAUAGGGAGUAUCAAUGUAAAGACCAUACCCUUCGUUUAUUAAUUACCUUUGAAGACCACUCAAUAAUUGAAGAGGUAUUGGCACACAAUGUGAGAUUAAAUCAUUGGGGUAUUUAUAUUAGGAGGGUCUUAUAUGACCGAGUGGUUCGUCCUCUGCUUACAGGUUUGAGACCAGCCCCCCAGAUAAAAACUAGCUUAAUUAUCACUCCUAGGUCUUCCAUCCCGACCUCUAGUUUAGCAUCAUUAGAAUCCUCUUCAGAGAUAUCAUAUAAAGCUCCAGUCACCCCUCAUCUGGCCCAUGUCCCUAUCCAGGAAAACUGUUGUAUUAAUUUUUAUACACCUUCUCUUUUUAGUUCCCCUUCAAACAUUUCAAUUGAUUCCCCCCUAUUCCCCUCCCAUGAAACCCCCCUUUUAGGAAUCUCUCAGGCUGGGUUAUCCCAUGAUCUUUUGGGCUUAAAGAGCUGA